This 253-nucleotide ribosomal RNA is filed under the name uncultured bacterium. RNAcentral's name for it is "partial 16S ribosomal RNA". It matches the Rfam family "Bacterial small subunit ribosomal RNA", at positions 524 to 776 of the family's 1533-position model. The record is from RNAcentral.
UACGUAGGGUGCGAGCGUUAAUCGGAAUUACUGGGCGUAAAGGGCGCGUAGGCGGGAUGGCAAGUCGGUCGUGAAAUCCCUCGGCUCAACUGAGGAUCGUCGAUCGAUACUGCCGUUCUUGAGGAUUGCAGAGGAGACUGGAAUUCCCGGUGUAGCGGUGAAAUGUGUAGAGAUCGGGAGGAACACCGGUGGCGAAGGCGGGUCUCUGGGCAAUUCCUGACGCUGAGGCGCGAAAGCGUGGGGAGCAAACGGG